GGGACAAGAAGACCCUAUAAAUCUUUAUUUCUUUAUUAUGAAAUAAAAAAUAAAAAAAAUUUUUUUUGUAAAAAGAAAUUUAAUUGGGGCGAUUGAAAAAGAUUAAAAAUCUUUAUUAAGAUCCAAAUAUUUUUGAUUGGUUGAAAAAGAUACUUUAGGGAUAACAGCGUAAUUAUUUUGGAUAGUUCAUAUUGGUAAAAUAGUUUGCGACCUCGAUGUUG
This 221-nucleotide ribosomal RNA is filed under the name Dendrolaelaps sp. OctN5DINF3. RNAcentral describes it as "partial large subunit ribosomal RNA". RNAcentral also lists the same sequence under 4 other names. The record is from RNAcentral. Lineage: Eukaryota; Metazoa; Arthropoda; Arachnida; Mesostigmata; Digamasellidae.